AUUUCCUUAUGCAAUACUCUGUUCUUGAAAUAGAUGUAUCUAACAAUGGCUUCUUAAAUCCUAAGCACCAAUCAACGAUCUCAUAUAGUCUUCAAAAUAUGGAAUCUCGCCAAUGCAACUAGGAUUCCCUCAUGCCCUUAAAUUUACAUGUGGUUCCAAUAGAGAACUAGAUCUCCAUGAUCCACAAUGACUAUACUUCAACACCCAAAGCACAUAACUUUUACUUAGAUAGUUCAUUUCCAGAACCUUGAACCACCAAAAAAUACUAAGUUCCAAAAGGAAGACUACACUACAAAUCUCAUCUACUUAUCCAAUACUCUGUUCUAACAUUCACUGUAUUGCAUCAAAAUUGAACACGUUCCUGGCUCGGAACAUGCCGAUCGUAAAACGGUGAAUCACUCGAGACAUUCAUGUCGUAUCCAGGACUCAUGAGGCGUAUGAACAUAAACCGAAAAGUACUUCUCAUUCCCUCUAAAAAACUUCUACCAAAGCGGAAGCAUAGGCAAAGGCCCUCUCGUCAUAAACAUGAACGCAACCUUCAGAACUCUAUCGUACGGAUAAUCCUCCUUCAUCGGUACCAUCGACGCUCUCCAGAACAGCUCCUCGUCACUCAGCCCAUGUCUCACAUCCUCCGCCCGAACAAACCCGUCGACGCUCCAGCAAUCUCGAAUCUUGGCCUUCUUCGCCGCCUUUACUGUCGUCGUCGUCGUUUGAGCAAUCACGGUGGAUGACUAUGCAAUUGGAGUAAUCAUGGAUCGUUUGAAGGAAUUGAAGUAACGAUCGAUGUGGGAGCUCGCGGCGAGUCUGAUGAUGAUUCUGGCCAUGAAUAUGAGGAGAAACGAGAGCGUUUGAGCUAGCUUUAGUAAUCCUAUGUGUUUUUUCAGAGAAGAAAUCAAUCGGGAGAGACACAGAGAGGAAGAGAUAGAGACACAGAGAGGAAGAGAAAAGACGGUUCUU
Molecule: long non-coding RNA, 957 nt
Filed under: Brassica napus (rape)
Lineage: Eukaryota; Viridiplantae; Streptophyta; Magnoliopsida; Brassicales; Brassicaceae
Description: long non-coding RNA (BNAP_LNC027201)
Source: RNAcentral